Molecule: unclassified non-coding RNA, 373 nt
Filed under: Zea mays
Lineage: Eukaryota; Viridiplantae; Streptophyta; Magnoliopsida; Poales; Poaceae
Description: misc RNA Zm00001eb421840
Source: RNAcentral
CAAUCCCAACACAAACCCCAAGCAAGAAGUGAAAAAAAAUGGCGAUAGAAAGUCUCUAACGGCAUGUACAGGUUAAGUGCUCAUGGAAAAGCUCCUGGAGCCUUGGAUCAGCAGGCAGAACCCCUGCCCCGACCCCGACGCCCCACCGCCUCCCGCCUUCUGUUGCCGACCGCUCGGCGUCACCGGCAGCUUGUCCGCCUCCUCUCCGUCGUCGAAGCAAUCGUCGUCCGUCCACAGCUUUGUCUCCGACGCGCCGCGCGCCUGGAACGUGAACACGGCACAGGGGGAAGUGGAGGACGGUUGGGGCGACUCGGCGCCCGCGUGGAAGAGCCAGCCGUGCAGGUCCCACGUCACGUCGACUGGCGCUCCGCCG